Long non-coding RNA from Hippocampus zosterae (dwarf seahorse), 4710 nucleotides. RefSeq lists it as uncharacterized. The transcript is spliced from 2 exons. The record is from RefSeq and is a predicted model, not a curated record. Lineage: Eukaryota; Metazoa; Chordata; Actinopteri; Syngnathiformes; Syngnathidae.
UUAAAGCGCCGCUUUCCUAUGACGGUUUUUUUGGUGGUUUUUGCGUUUUUUAAUUCAAACAAUGGAUGCAAGUUGUUAAAGUCGCCAACCACUUAUUGUUUAUACGCACUUUUAACAUUAAACGUUUGUUUUAAAGACACGAUGAAGAUCCAAAAAUCCAGACCGACUAUUUUGUAUUUACUUUUUAGCACACUCUGCGAAGACUGGUGUCAAAUUACACUUGAGGAGGAACUAUGUAAAGCAGGAGAGUAUGGUUUGAAGUUUGAAUCUGUAGAACAAUUGUUCAUUUCUCUCUAGAAUUUAGAAUGUUCUCGCUGACAACGUGGACCUCUUUGAAAAGUUGUCUCUGGAUUUUUUAAAGUACCGUAGUAAUGGUUUGAGUUUUGGGAAAAAUAGUGAUUAAAAAUAUAAAUGAAUUCACGUUUAAUUCAAACGCCAGUGGAAGAUAUUAAACGUUAAUUCAGUUUACAGACCAAAUGAAAUGCCCAAUAUUAAACAAGCAAAAAGGUUUUUAAUUGUGAUGUGACCACGGCAACUUUUUCAAUGCUAGCUUUCGAUGGUUAUUGGUGUCAAAUUACACCAAAACAGAAAGUGUCUGCAUAGAUGUGCUGGUAACAAAAAUUGGCCAGGGAAUAGGAGUUGGUGGCAGCACUCACUUGGCUCAUAAUAAUCAUUUUAUGUGUGUGUGUGUGUGCGUGUGUGUGUGUGCGCGCGCGCAGGGGCGGGGGUAAAGGCCGUAAUUUACAUGACUUAAAAUUGUCAGCCAACCUUGCAUUGUAACAUUUCUAAAGAGGAUGUUGCCAAAUCAAAUGUAUCCCUAAUCUUCCAUUAAUUAUAUGUGCAUUAAAUGUGUUUGCAUUUCAAGGCUGUUAUUUGUGGCAUACGUGCUGAAAGAAAUACAAAUUUGCUACUUCAAAAAGUCGAACCUAGUUCUUUCUGUGUUCUUAUAGAAUUUAACGGCAGUGAAAACAAAUGAUCUUCUUCCUGUUAAUGACUAAGCUUUAUAACCCGACCAACCAGUUUUUUUUCCUUCCUUAAGUUUACUUCCGUUCUUCAACUGGCUCAUCCAACUGUUAAACCAAAGGAAGUGACAACAGGCACACCGAAGGCCUUUCACUGUAAAUUACCAAGCGGAACAAAUAGCUUUCAAGGCAGAUACGAAUCUGCAAAUUUUAAUGCUGUGUCACCUGCAAUUAUUUUCUCCUCAUAAAAAAAGUAAACAUCUACCAUUGUUUACCAGCUGUUGUUCAACUAAAGCCGCUUUCUCACUGCCUGUAAAAUCCGGCCUUUUCUGUGUUGCAGCACUGAUGCGGAAAGGAAGUCGACCCAGCUUCGGCGGUAGUAUCAGAAGCCUCUUUCACACAAAGACCCAGCAAAACCCAGACUCUAGAAAUACUCAUGCAGUUGUAAACAAACACAAAUAUACAGUAAUGUAUUUUAUUGAUGGUGGACAGUCAAAGUGGAAAUUACGUCUAUUUGCGUCACAGCGUUAAUCGCUUUUUGUGGUUUGGAUCGGGAUAUUCCAAUUGAGCACAAUUACCAUGGGUUAUCCCAAAGGUUUCCCAAACCGAAUUUCGACCUUGACCCGAAUAUUGACUGCGUGUACAGUAAAUGUAGUCAGUGCUUUCAAAGAAAAGCCUAUAACAGACAAUAUCAGCAGUCCUACGUAAAAUAUUGCUACAUCACACACAUUCACAAGCUGGUUGCAGUUUUUCCGUUUAUGUAAAUUAAAAUAAAUUAAAUGCAAAAUUCUUGGACUUUGGUUCGCAGGUUGGAUUAGUUGGUAUACUGCUAACUUUGGACACUGUGGGGAUGGGGUUCAAAUCCUGGUCAGGUCCUACAGCCCACCCAUGGAAAAUGGAUGGGUUGCAUUAGGAAGGGCGUCUGGUGUUCAAGAUGUGCAAAACAUAUCAUGUUACUUGUUUAGGUGAAAGUUGCUCGAUUGUCUUUUUAACCACAGCUAUCCCGAUAACCUGGUAAGCCAUUUAUUAGUAACUUUAACUCAUCAUUGUGAGUAGUUUCUACCCCAUUUGGAUCAAAAUCUUGACCUGGUGAGCUGGGUGAGCUAAACCACUCAAUUUGAUGAAAAUCAAUGAAAAGUAACACUACUAUUCAUUGGUUAUUCUCAUGCACCGGGCCUGCUCUGCGUAAUAUGUGGCAACAGACUUGAAGACAGACACAGUGCCCCCAAAAAAUAAAAAAAAUGCUACACGGUAUACUCUGAUUCCAUUUCUCCUAUCUUAUCCUUGUGAAGGAAGAUUAUGGACUUUCGGGUGUAAUUGUUUCCCAUUUCCCCAAGAUGAGAACAGCUCGUUGAAGAGAAACAAGUGCAGGGCUUUCACUAAUUCCAUCAAUGACAUUCAUUCAGUUGUAUAUUGUUAUAUUGCUUUAUUAUAAAACCUAUUGCUUGCAGAAUUGCCUCUCACAUAGCCCUACAAAGACCUUCUGGUACAACAAGCUCAGAAGCCGGAAAUUCGGCAAGUCAAAUUCCAAAACCCCAUUCCAUGUUUGUACCUUAUAUACAGAUCACAGACACGAGGGUGGAUGAUCUUUAGAUACACAAUGUCUAAUUACACCGCUGUUGGAUGGCAACAAUUGCGUUCACCACAAAAGGCCUGGGAAAAUGAACGUUGGGCACUUAACUUCACACCCAUGUUCCAACAAUGCAGAAUUCAAGUACGUAUACCGGUACGUCAGAAUCGCUAGGCUCUGAUACAACCUUCAAAGAGAGAAAAUUGCCUAAUUGCCCCUCCCCACUCCCUCCUCCUCAUUCCGUGUGACUGUAAGUUGUACUGAACAAAGGGCACGAAAGAAAGAUGCAAACGUCAACUUUAACCGGCAAUGUAAAAGCGACGAGAGGCCUAACAGAGGCAGGAUGACACAUGUGUGAGCAUGCAAAAUAUUCAGAACAGACGCUGACAACAGUUAAUUGAGUGCAUGUUGCCAUGUCACUGUUUCAAAUAUUCACUGAGUUCUGAGUUGAGGGCAAAGGCAGCCAAUUUUGCAGGAUGUUCAUUUAAAAGAGGCUCAUGCAGUAUGUUUGUGCAGUUGACUGCAGCAUUAAAGGCCACAAAUUACGAGUAGCAUGUUUCACAUAGUAUAUUUGUUUCAAAAUGUUUUUUUAACUUACCCCAAGCAAGAUAUCUUGUCAAAAGCGUCUAAUUUUAGCAUGUCUCCUGGGAUCCUCACCACCCUUUUUUUUUCUUCCUAAAUCUGCCGCCUCCCCGCCACUGCUGCAACCGCCCGCAGAUUUCAAGGAAGCCUUCGGGGCCAUAAGCCUAUUUAGUGACUCACCUCGCCUUCAGAAAUAUAAUGACAAAAAAUAAUUACAUGCAGUGUUCAAAGGCGGCUGGCAGGCUCUGGGACCUCUUUCAUCACUAUGUCAUUUGGAUUGCUGACUUGUGCACAGUAAAGAAUAAUCACUUUUGUUUUUAAAUAUAUGAUGCAUUUUUAGUCAUCUGAAGGCCACGAUACAUUCAUGAAAAAAUAUGAUGCAGUCAUCCUCGGUUUACAGCGGUCCUGACAUAAAACAUUUUGAGGUUACCACAGUAGUUUGUAAUUUGAUUACUUUACGUUAAAGGCCUCAGGAUGUUUUAUGUACCAAUAUCUACUGCAAUGAUGAAUUUAUGAUUGCACUGCUAAGUAAAUGAACAAAUUGUGACGUCAGGAAAAUUUGGGUUCUAUCACCACAUUAGGGAUUGAAGUCUGCCGUAAAUUGAGGACCCACUGUACAUUUAGCUAAAUGCAAAAUGAUUCAUAUGUUUGCCAGUUUUUGUUGUUGUUAAAAUCCAUUUGAUCUGUUAAUUGGGUAUAUUUUGGUUGUAAAUGGCCCAAGGUGUUUUUAAAUGUUGCCAAAAAGUUGUAGAUGAAAAUUAUUUCAACACUCUCUCAAAACAUGAAUAUCCAAUGUCUUACAGUCUGUUAGACGUUAUACUAGACUGCUCUUAGGAUCAGGAGAAAUGUAAUGCACUAUUUAAAAAUGAACUCCAAUCUAAAAUCUGUAGUUUGACUGUGUAUGUAUCUUCAUAAUAAAACAAAAAUAUUUUAAAUGUAUGGCGUAGAAGUGUUUUUUAUACAAAUAUUUACUAUAAUUAUGACUUUACAGUGAUACUGCAUUAAUUUAAGUUACACCAUAUUCCGACUUAUGUACGUAAUAUAUUUGUCGUUGUAAGCCGAGGAACCCUGUCCAUGAAAUUAGCUUAUCGUGCCUAUCAUGAACGGACCCACUAAAAUGCUUCAAGAAGCUAUGCCUGAAAAGAAAUGGGAAGCCGGCCAUUUUGGUGUGAAACACCCAUUUUGUGGUCAUGUUGAGUUAUUCUCAUUGUGCCAAUCUCUUUUUUUCGUCAAUGGAUGCUACAGCUUCUUGUUGACUUUGAAACUUAGCUUGUAGCCGACGUGUGCACAUUUUGAGCAUGAUGUCUCUGAUCCACUGGUUAAAGGACACUUUAUAUGAGUCUCUCCUCUUUCAUCUCAAACUGCUUCAAACAACAAAGCGUGUGACAGAAAAGUGGUUAGGGCUGCACGACUGUCCAUGUUUUGUGUUAUGUGUUGUGUUUAUUAUUUUACUUUAUGUUAACUGUUUUGUUAAGCGCUUUGUUGCCGCUGUUGUGAAAGCGCAAUAUAAACAGCAUGUAUUGUAUUGUAUUGUUUAUGGAACAUGAUAGCAAAGAUUAAUGACUCAUAAUAAAACACAAAUCUCUAAGAACUCAA